This 73-nucleotide transfer RNA is filed under the name Bos taurus (domestic cattle). It matches the Rfam family "tRNA". Rfam says of the family: Transfer RNA (tRNA) molecules are approximately 80 nucleotides in length. Their secondary structure includes four short double-helical elements and three loops (D, anti-codon, and T loops). The record is from Rfam by way of RNAcentral. Lineage: Eukaryota; Metazoa; Chordata; Mammalia; Artiodactyla; Bovidae. RNAcentral also lists the same sequence under 3 other names.
UCUGAUCUGAUCUGAUGGUGGUAAAGAACCUGCCUGCAGUGCAGGAGACCUGGGUUCCAUCCCUGGGUCAGGA